Rhododendron vialii is the source of this 296-nucleotide long non-coding RNA. RefSeq lists it as uncharacterized. The record is from RefSeq and is a predicted model, not a curated record. The transcript is spliced from 2 exons. Lineage: Eukaryota; Viridiplantae; Streptophyta; Magnoliopsida; Ericales; Ericaceae.
AAAUGAUUAUUUUAUUUAUUCAGUUCCACUGGUGGAUAUUUUUUAGCAUUAUUUAUAAUCCUCUGAGCGUAAUUAAGGCACUUGGUUAGGCUAUGCAUCUGUGUACAUAUUGCAUAAGCGACGUGGUCUGACUCCUAGCUGGAAUAAAGGGGAGAAAGUGCAAUGUAAUUCUGAAUUGAAUUCUUAUCCGUAAUUCUAUGAGCAUAAUGAAGGCACUUGGUUAGGCUGUGCAUCUGUAUAGAUAUUGCUGAAGUAAUCACAAUUGACGAAUAAAGAGGAGAGAAAGUUAAAUCUAA